UAAUACGUAGGGGGCAAGCGUUGUCCGGAUUUAUUGGGCGUAAAGAGCGUGUAGGCGGCCUGGUAGGUCAGCUGUGAAAACUCGAGGCUCAACCUCGAGACGCCGGUUGAAACCAUCAGGCUAGAGUCCGGAAGAGGAGAGUGGAAUUCCCGGUGUAGCGGUGAAAUGCGCAGAUAUCGGGAAGAACACCCGUGGCUAAGGCGGCUCUCUAGUACGGUACUGACGCUGAGACGCGAAAGCGUGGGGAGCGAACAG
RNAcentral lists this ribosomal RNA (255 nucleotides) under uncultured prokaryote. Its description in RNAcentral is "partial 16S ribosomal RNA". It matches the Rfam family "Bacterial small subunit ribosomal RNA", at positions 521 to 775 of the family's 1533-position model. The record is from RNAcentral.